UCUCGAGUGACUUGCUCUUUGUAAUGUGGACUUCUGGUGCUUUCUGUUUAAGCUUGUUAAGUUUAUUUUGAAACUUUCCUCAUACCGUGAUGUGGCUUGCUCGGCAGAUUUGAGCAUUUUGCCAGAAGUCUCAACCAUCACAGCAGUCUGUGUCAACGAAUUUGUUCAUUUUGCAAGACAUCAGAUUCACAAGUAUUUUGUGAGACAGCUGACUUCUGAAUUCUGUCUUAAUGUGAUGCACCAUGCUGAAUGCCCUUUCUACAUCACAAUUAGAAUUUGGCAGCACCAAAAGCAGCUUCAUCAACUGGCAGAGCUCUUUGAAUCUCUACUGCCCUGUGCUCACAGAUUUUACUUUGGACAGCUUCCCCCAGAACUCAUCAACUGGCAAACUUUUGUAGUUUGGCACCAGUCCUUCAAGGUAAGGGGGCAGAUAAAAGGCACCUGCAAACUUCUUUCCAGCUGUUAAAAAAAGCAUGGAGGAAUUUCAGAGAUCCAUGUCCAGAGGGACGUCCCUUCCAAUACAGAUUUCAUGUAAGAUGGCAACAAGUUCAAAUGCAGCUGCUUUUACAAGACAGACUCGACUUCAGAUCUGGAAAUUUAAUCACAAGUGGUCACACCUCUUCCUAAAAUGAAGAUAAUGAAACAAAGCAGGAUUGUAUUCCCUGAAAAUUGAAGUGCCUUUAUCAAAGUUUUGAAGGAAAAGUGGACUGAAAGAAAUUACUUACAGAUUGAGAAAUGCACAUUGUUGCCAUGUUGAUGGAAACACAAAAUUACAAUAAAUUACAAAAAGUG
This is a long non-coding RNA of Hypanus sabinus (Atlantic stingray), 792 nucleotides long. RefSeq lists it as uncharacterized. NCBI's taxonomy places the organism in Eukaryota, Metazoa, Chordata, Chondrichthyes, Myliobatiformes, Dasyatidae. The transcript has 5 exons. The record is from RefSeq and is a predicted model, not a curated record.